RNAcentral lists this long non-coding RNA (735 nucleotides) under Pandoravirus dulcis. RNAcentral describes it as "putative ncRNA". The record is from RNAcentral.
CCCGUGCGCGCGCAAGGGGCGGCAUGGCCGCGAGCGGAUGCGACAAGGAGUGCGCCGUCGCGGCAAGAGAAGCGGGGUCUGCAUUUUUUUUCCACGACGACGACGACAACAACAAGGAUCACAGCAGCGGCGGCGGCGACGGCAAAAAGAGACACGAAAAAGAAAGAGAGAAAAAGACGGCGUGAGAAGCGUGUACAGCCGACGACGGCGUCAAACACACGCGGCACACACCGAGCCCGACAACAAGGGAGUGUCGCCAUAUAAAGAAAAUGGGAAGAAAAAAGGAGAAAAAUCAAAGAAAACCUCGGGAAUGGCACGCGUACAUUGAUGCGCAAAGGAGUGGUUGGUGUUGUUGUAGUCGUUGGUAGUCGCCGCCGCCGUUGCCCUCUCUUUCUUCUCGGUUGUUCUCAACUCUUGGAUGGGUCGCAGCGUCUACCCCUGUUUUUUUUGUUGGAUAGGCCGUAGCGUGCGCAGGCUCUUUCUUUUUUUGUUUGACCCUGUGUUUUUGCUUUCCGGUGCUCUUUUUUUUGUGUUCACUGAAUGUCCCCGGCGACGGUGUCUUGUGCGGGCGUGGCCGGCGCUGUCUUUUGUCGCUUCCUGGCGGUGUUUUCUUUCUUUCCUCACUGGUCCGCCGCUACUUUUUUUUUCACUGAUUAUCUCUUGCGCGAUGUGACCUGGUGGAAAAGCGUGCCGUCCGACGGUGUGGUCUGUGCGGCGAGGGUGUGUGUGUGCGAG